UAGGGAAUCUUCGGCAAUGGACGAAAGUCUGACCGAGCAACGCCGCGUGAGUGAAGAAGGUUUUCGGAUCGUAAAACUCUGUUGUUAGAGAAGAACAAGGACGUUAGUAACUGAACGUCCCCUGACGGUAUCUAACCAGAAAGCCACGGCUAACUACGUGCCAGCAGCCGCGGUAAUACGUAGGUGGCAAGCGUUGUCCGGAUUUAUUGGGCGUAAAGCGAGCGCAGGCGGUUUCUUAAGUCUGAUGUGAAAGCCCCCGGCUCAACCGGGGAGGGUCAUUGGAAACUGGGAGACUUGAGUGCAGAAGAGGAGAGUUGAAUUCCAUGUGUAGCGGUGAAAUGCGUAGAUAUAUGGAGGAACACCAGUGGCGAAGGCGGCUCUCUGGUCUGUAACUGACGCUGAGGCUCGAAAGCGUGGGGAGCAAACAGG
Molecule: ribosomal RNA, 429 nt
Filed under: Gemmatimonadota bacterium
Lineage: Bacteria; Pseudomonadati; Gemmatimonadota
Description: Gemmatimonadetes bacterium partial 16S ribosomal RNA
Rfam family: Bacterial small subunit ribosomal RNA
Source: RNAcentral